GGGGGUUGUUUACCCUGUGAGGCCCCAGAAGGCAGCUCUGGAAACCUGGAUUCAGCCCCCACAGGAACUCUGAAGCGCUCCGCCUGCAGGGCCUGUUGGCUCCGGGGGGCG
RNAcentral lists this microRNA precursor (111 nucleotides) under Canis lupus familiaris (dog). Its description in RNAcentral is "mir-8834 microRNA precursor family". It matches the Rfam family "mir-8834 microRNA precursor family". Lineage: Eukaryota; Metazoa; Chordata; Mammalia; Carnivora; Canidae. RNAcentral also lists the same sequence under 1 other name. The record is from Rfam by way of RNAcentral.